Molecule: long non-coding RNA, 797 nt
Organism: Paramisgurnus dabryanus
Lineage: Eukaryota; Metazoa; Chordata; Actinopteri; Cypriniformes; Cobitidae
Source: RefSeq, a predicted model, not a curated record
UACAUGUUAUUAAAACUUGAACUAAUGCAUUGUGAGUCUUAUAAAUUGCUUACAUACCUCACCGAUUUCUGCAUGUCUGGAAAACGCUCGGUUUAGUUCCUGUCUCCGCCUCCCAAAAUGUCUAGUGUAAUCGGAUUGGUCAGAUGACUACUCAACUGUUAUUGGUCAGCUGGGUUCGGCUUGUGUUUGAAAGGUUACGCCCCUGACUACGCGUGGGUUGACACAGAUUCUGACUGAGAGUCACAGCCUCAGAGGCAUCGUAAACAAGCGUUAUAUUUCUCUAUAAACGAUGGUGUCUGUACUGCCUUACCACUUCGAGCUCGAUCCAGAGAGUUCAGAAGGCCGUUACGAUAUAAACGAUCUCCGUCAAUGAAUGCGAUUGGAUUUAACUUUUUUAGGUGUCCUUAGCUCUGCCAGAAUGCUAAACGAAGACGAAAAUGUGUUGCAAAGACAUCCAAAAGGUUUUAAGGAGAAUGCAACAGGUUCCAGGGCCUCUUACCUGCGUGAUUCAUCAUCCAGGUUUUGCACAAAUUGUCUAAAUCCCUACACACAGAACAUUUAUUGUACCGACUAUAAGCCUUUGAGGCGCAGGACUAGAAUACGCUUGGAGCUUCCUGAUCGGAAUGUUGGCUUCCGACGACCCCUGCACUGAAGAUGGCAUGCAAUCACGUCCUCCUUUGAAGGUCUCUCAAACUGUGAUGCCAGGUCCAUUGGAAUCGGGGUUUCCUUCAGCUUAUCUUCAAAUACCUCAGCAAACACAAGCCUGAUCACAUCCUCCACAUAACUGUAGAAAUAUU